RNAcentral lists this unclassified non-coding RNA (321 nucleotides) under uncultured Glomeraceae. Its description in RNAcentral is "sequence contains ITS2". Lineage: Eukaryota; Fungi; Glomeromycota; Glomeromycetes; Glomerales; Glomeraceae. The record is from RNAcentral.
AACGCAUAUUGCACUCUCUGGUAAUCCGGGGAGUAUGCCUGUUUGAGGGUCAGUAAAUAAUAAUUAUCAUAAUCUUUUGAUUGUGGAAUUGGGCUUUUAUUUCAUUUUAAUGAUUUAUGGCCUUAAAUUUAUGUUACCGCUUGUUUAAUAUGAAAUUCGACCGAAUGGAGCAAUUAAACAUUCUCUCGUUAGGCGGAUUCAUCAAGCAAUUACGAUUUUUUGGCCGUCGAAGCACUUUUUUUUUAGAAGUGCUUGGUCGAGAUUGUAAGAUACAUUUUUAACAAUGACCUCAAAUCAGGCAAGAAUACCCGCUGAACUUAA